Molecule: ribosomal RNA, 1376 nt
Filed under: uncultured bacterium
Lineage: Bacteria
Description: bacterial SSU rRNA
Rfam family: Bacterial small subunit ribosomal RNA
Source: RNAcentral
UUGAACGCUGGCGGUAUGCUUAACACAUGCAAGUCGAACGGAAACGAUACUAGCUUGCUAGUAGGCGUCGAGUGGCGGACGGGUGAGUAACGCGUAGGAAUCUGCCUGAUAGUGGGGGAUAGCCCGAAGAAAUUCGGAUUAAUACCGCAUAAUCUAUUCGUAGUAAAGUGGGGGACUUUCGAGCCUCACGCUAUCAGAUGAGCCUGCGUAAGAUUAGCUUGUUGGUAGGGUAAAAGCCUACCAAGGCGACGAUCUUUAGCUGGUCUGAGAGGAUGAUCAGCCACAUCGGGACUGAGACACGGCCCGAACUCCUACGGGAGGCAGCAGUGGGGAAUAUUGGACAAUGGGGGCAACCCUGAUCCAGCAAUACCGCGUGUGUGAAGAAGGCCUGAGGGUUGUAAAGCACUUUCAAUUGUGAAGAAAAGUUAGCGGUUAAUAACUGUUAGCCUUGACGUUAACUUUAGAAGAAGCACCGGCUAACUCCGUGCCAGCAGCCGCGGUAAUACGGAGGGUGCAAGCGUUAAUCGGAAUUACUGGGCGUAAAGCGUGCGUAGGCGGUUUAUUAAGUCAGAUGUGAAAGCCCCGGGCUUAACCUGGGAACUGCAUUUGAAACUGGUCAACUAGAGUAUGGUAGAGGAAAGUGGAAUUUCUGGUGUAGCGGUGAAAUGCGUAGAUAUCAGAAGGAACAUCAAUGGCGAAGGCAGCUUUCUGGACCAAUACUGACGCUGAGGUACGAAAGCGUGGGUAGCAAACAGGAUUAGAUACCCCUGGUAGUCCACGCCGUAAACGAUGAUAACUAGCCGUUGGGGGGAUUUACCCUUUAGUGGCGAAGCUAACGCGUUAAGUUAUCCGCCUGGGGAGUACGGCCGCAAGGUUAAAACUCAAAGGAAUUGACGGGGACCCGCACAAGCGGUGGAGCAUGUGGUUUAAUUCGAUGCAACGCGAAGAACCUUACCUGGUCUUGACAUCCUGCGAACUUUCUAGAAAUAGAUUGGUGCCUUCGGGAACGCAGUGACAGGUGCUGCAUGGCUGUCGUCAGCUCGUGUCGUGAGAUGUUGGGUUAAGUCCCGUAACGAGCGCAACCCCUAUCCUUAUUUGCCAGCACAUCAUGGUGGGAACUAUAAGGAGACUGCCGGUGAUAAACCGGAGGAAGGCGGGGACGACGUCAAGUCAUCAUGGCCCUUACGACCAGGGCUACACACGUGCUACAAUGGGAAGGACAAAGAGCCGCGAAGCCGCGAGGUGUAGCUAAUCUCAUAAACCUUUUCGUAGUCCGGAUUGGAGUCUGCAACUCGACUCCAUGAAGUCGGAAUCGCUAGUAAUCGUAGAUCAGAAUGCUACGGUGAAUACGUUCCCGGGUCUUGUACACACCGCCC